Molecule: long non-coding RNA, 702 nt
Organism: Balaenoptera ricei (Rice's whale)
Lineage: Eukaryota; Metazoa; Chordata; Mammalia; Artiodactyla; Balaenopteridae
Exons: 2
Source: RefSeq, a predicted model, not a curated record
GCCUGUGCUGGAGCCCCAGGCGGCCACAAGGCAGCGUGACAGCCACCGCUCUGUGAGGAAGCCCAAGCCACAUGGAGAGGCCUGGGGCGGGUGCUCCAGCCAGCGUCCCAGCCAUGCUCAGGGCAGACGUGAGAGAAGCAGCCUCAGAUGACCCCAGCCCCAGCCCUGAGUCACCCCAAGCCCGUCAUCUUCCCAGCUGAGACCCCAGAUGUCAUGGGGCAGAAACAACCGUCCCACGGUGCCCACCUACAGAACCCAUCGGCCCAGAGAAGUGGUUGUUUCCACCGCUGGAAAAGAAACCAAGGCACCCUCGCCAGCUCAGGUGUGGAGAGUGCCCACAGCAAACAGGAUGUGUGAACAAGACGCAACACUAAAAUAUCUGCAAAUAAAAUGACAUCACCUGUGGGACAUGCCUAGUAACAGGCAUGGGUGAGGCCGGGGCAGUGAGACACCAGGAACAGACAGCUGCGAAGCUGGAGACAGGAACCCAAAGGUUCUGCCAACCUUUGUAACAUUUAAAGUUUUACACAAUUAGAUGUUUUGUAAACAGUGGUAGCACUAUAAUGGAAAAGAACCUGAGAAAAAAUAUGUGUGUGUGUGUGUGUGUGUGUGUGUGUAUCUGACUCACGUUGCUGUACACCUGAAACUAACACAACAUUGUAAAUCAACUAUACUUCGAUUUUAUAAAAUGGCUUUAAAACA